RNAcentral lists this ribosomal RNA (269 nucleotides) under uncultured prokaryote. Its description in RNAcentral is "partial 16S ribosomal RNA". It matches the Rfam family "Bacterial small subunit ribosomal RNA", at positions 524 to 792 of the family's 1533-position model. The record is from RNAcentral.
GACGAAGGUGGCGAGCGUUGUUCGGAAUCACUGGGCUUAAAGAGCACGUAGGCGGAACAGUAAGCGUCCCGUGAAAUCCCCCGGCUUAACCGGGGAACUGCCGGGCGAACUGCUGUUCUUGAGGCAAGCAGGGGUGCGUGGAACUCUUGGUGGAGCGGUGAAAUGCGUAGAUAUCAAGAGGAACGCCGGCGGAGAAAUCGGCGCACUGGGCUUGUCCUGACGCUGAGGUGCGAAAGCGUGGGGAGCGAACGGGAUUAGAUACCCCAGUA